CCUACGGGAGACAGCAGUGAGGAAUAUUGGUCAAUGGACGAGAGUCUGAACCCGCCAAGUAGCGUGAAGGAUGACUGCCCUAUGGGUUGUAAACUUCUUUUAUAUGGGAAUAAAAUGUUCCACGUGUGGGAUUUUGUGUGUACCAUAUGAAUAAGGAUCGGCUAACUCCGUGCCCGCAGCCGCGGUAAUACGGAGGAUCCGAGCGUUAUCCGGAUUUAUUGGGUUUAAAGGGUGCGUAGGUGGAGUGUUAAGUCAGUUGUGAAAGUUUGCGGCUCAACCGUAAAAUUGUAGUUGAAACUGGCAGUCUUGAGUACAGGAGAGGUGGGCGGAAUUCGUGGUGUAGCGGUGAAAUGCUUAGAUAUCACGAAGAACUCCGAUUGCGAAGGCAGGUCACUGGACUGCAACUGACACGGAGGCUCGAAAGUGUGGGUAUCAAACAGGAUUAGAUACCCUGGUAGUC
Molecule: ribosomal RNA, 460 nt
Filed under: uncultured bacterium
Lineage: Bacteria
Description: partial 16S ribosomal RNA
Rfam family: Bacterial small subunit ribosomal RNA
Source: RNAcentral